This 450-nucleotide ribosomal RNA is filed under the name uncultured bacterium. RNAcentral describes it as "partial 16S ribosomal RNA". It matches the Rfam family "Bacterial small subunit ribosomal RNA", at positions 354 to 796 of the family's 1533-position model. The record is from RNAcentral.
GUGGGGAAUAUUCCGCAAUGGACGAAAGUCUGACGGAGCAACGCCGCGUGAGUGAUGAAGGUUUUCGGACUGUAAAGCUCUGUUGUUUAGGACGAAAGUGCCUGUUGCAAAUAGUUACAGGUAUUGACGGUACUGAACGAGGAGGCCACGGCUAACUACGUGCCAGCAGCCGCGGUAAUACGUAGGUGGCAAGCGUUGUCCGGAAUUAUUGGGCGUAAAGAGCAUGUAGGCGGGAAUCUAAGUCUGUUGUGAAAAUGCGGGGCUCAACCCCGUAUUGCGAUGGAAACUGGGUUUCUUGAGUGCAGGAGAGGAAAGGGGAAUUCCCAGUGUAGCGGUGAAAUGCGUAGAUAUUGGGAGGAACACCAGUGGCGAAGGCGCCUUUCUGGACUGUGUCUGACGCUGAGAUGCGAAAGCCAGGGUAGCGAACGGGAUUAGAAACCCCAGUAGUCC